AUGGAGGAAGCAGGAAAGGACCUAAGCUUCGGCAAGAGUAAGGCAGCAUACAUGGCAAACCCUCACGUGGUCCAGAAGUGUAAAGCAGUUUCAAUGAAGAAGAAUCUGCAGUUGCCUGAAACCAAGGAGAAGAUGGUGAGUGCAGAUGCUGAAGUAAAUAUGGUCGAGGAAGUUGUGCUUCAAACGGAUAUGCCAACUGUAGUGAGUAGAGAGCCAACCACCAUCACAGGAGUUCAACAGAUCAAGGGGAAGACUCCCCUUUCAAUAGUCCCACCAAAACCACCUAAGCAGCAAAAGAUUGUCAAGUUUGCCAGGGUCACAAAGGUGGAAUAG
This 333-nucleotide ribosomal RNA is filed under the name Triticum aestivum (bread wheat). RNAcentral describes it as "partial small subunit ribosomal RNA". The record is from RNAcentral. Lineage: Eukaryota; Viridiplantae; Streptophyta; Magnoliopsida; Poales; Poaceae.